GUGGGGAAUAUUGGACAAUGGGCGCAAGCCUGAUCCAGCCAUACCGCGUGGGUGAAGAAGGCCUUCGGGUUGUAAAGCCCUUUUGUUGGGAAAGAAAUCCUAUCGAUUAAUACUCGGUGGGGAUGACGGUACCCAAAGAAUAAGCACCGGCUAACUUCGUGCCAGCAGCCGCGGUAAUACGAAGGGUGCAAGCGUUACUCGGAAUUACUGGGCGUAAAGCGUGCGUAGGUGGUUGUUUAAGUCUGCUGUGAAAGCCCUGGGCUCAACCUGGGAAUUGCAGUGGAUACUGGGCAACUAGAGUGUGGUAGAGGGAUGCGGAAUUUCUGGUGUAGCAGUGAAAUGCGUAGAGAUCAGAAGGAACAUCCGUGGCGAAGGCGGCAUCCUGGGCCAACACUGACACUGAGGCACGAAAGCGUGGGGAGCAAACAGGAUUAGAAACCCCGGUAGUCC
RNAcentral lists this ribosomal RNA (450 nucleotides) under uncultured bacterium. Its description in RNAcentral is "partial 16S ribosomal RNA". It matches the Rfam family "Bacterial small subunit ribosomal RNA", at positions 354 to 796 of the family's 1533-position model. The record is from RNAcentral.